This 74-nucleotide transfer RNA is filed under the name Nitrososphaerota archaeon. RNAcentral's name for it is "tRNA-Tyr". It matches the Rfam family "tRNA". From Rfam's summary of the family: Transfer RNA (tRNA) molecules are approximately 80 nucleotides in length. Their secondary structure includes four short double-helical elements and three loops (D, anti-codon, and T loops). Further hydrogen bonds mediate the characteristic L-shaped molecular structure. tRNAs have two regions of fundamental functional importance: the anti-codon, which is responsible for specific mRNA codon recognition, and the 3' end, to which the tRNAs corresponding amino acid is attached (by aminoacyl-tRNA synthetases). tRNAs cope with the degeneracy of the genetic code in two manners: having more than one tRNA (with a specific anti-codon) for a particular amino acid; and 'wobble' base-pairing, i.e. permitting non-standard base-pairing at the 3rd anti-codon position. RNAcentral also lists the same sequence under 2 other names. The record is from RNAcentral. Lineage: Archaea; Thermoproteati; Nitrososphaerota.
CCCGCAGUAGCUCAGCCUGGUAGAGCUUCCGGCUGUAGACCGGAGUGUCGUCGGCUCAAAUCCGACCUGCGGGA